UCCGGUUUGUCACCGGCAGUCUCAUUAGAGUGCCCAACUGAAUGUAGCAACUAAUGACAAGGGUCGCGCUCGUUGCGGGACUUAACCCAACACCUCACGGCACGAGCUGACGACAGCCAUGCACCACCUGCGCAGAAGUCCCUUGCGGGAGGUCCUCGCUUUCACGAAGAUUUCCUCUGCAUGUCAAGCCCAGGUAAGGUUCUUCGCGUUGCCUCGAAUUAAACCACACGCUCCGCUGCUUGUGCGGGCCCCCGCCUAUUCCUUCGAGUUUUAACCUUGCGGCCGUAGUCCCCAGGCGGUGCACUUAAUGCGUUAGCUGCGGCACCGCAGGGGUCAAUACCCGCGACACCUAGUGCUCAUCGUUUACAGCGUGGACUAC
RNAcentral lists this unclassified non-coding RNA (379 nucleotides) under uncultured bacterium. RNAcentral describes it as "contains 16S-23S intergenic spacer region". The record is from RNAcentral.